GUUUGUUGUGCUGUGAUUGUUGUGUUGUGCUGCUCACCUGUGUGAGGAGCUCUGUGGGACAUCACCCACACUGUUCCUGCUCUUGGGCAGAAUGGAACAGGGUAUGACUAAAGGCCAAGUUGCACAGAAACAUUUACAAGCAAUUGCAGAGUCUCACAUUCCAGCAGCUUGUUCCUCCACACAGAUCUAAACCACCACUCUGCACAUUUUAGAUGCUCAUUUCAUUCUUUUGCCCUGGAGUUCUGGCUGUGAUUCAUUCUUUGCAUUUAACAAAGAGAAUCAGAUCACAUAUAUAAGGUGAGUUGUGGGUGUCCUGACAGAAGGAUUUGGCCUUAUAUGUCCCACCUCCAGAUAUUUCUAUCCCCUUUUCCUUUUUUUUCCCCUCCAAGCAUGUUGUUACUGUCCAUGAGUCAUUUCAUUAAUCUGGAGAGAAGGCCAGAAAACAAGUGAAUAAACACCCUGCUUCACAACCUUCUGCUGCUCUGUUUACUUCUCUGCUAAUGAAUGAACAGCUGAAAACCAGAAUCAUCCUAUCUGGGGACAUUCAAAGGGACAUUAUCUCCUCUUUGUCAAUGGCUGGUGCCUGGCCCAGCCAGUGGCUGCACUGCAGGAUCAGAGGAUGAUCUCUGCAUGCUCCUGAUAACUCUCACACAGUGAGUGCAAUGACUGUAAAUCACAGAGCAGUCACACAACAGUCUGGGUUGGAAGGGACCUUAAUCCCAGAAACAAUGGAAAGGAACAUACAUGCAAGUCAAAAAGAAGAGCACAGGAAUCUUUUACCUUUCCUAUUAAAAAAAAAAAACAAAAAACCCCCCCAAAAACCCCCAAAAAACCCCAAACACAAAAAGCUGUGAUGCCAGACACAGGGGCCUGCCUGCAGCAGCACAAGGUCAAAUCUCAUGUGAACCAGGCUGGAACUCAGCCCAUGCUCUGAGUCCUGGGGUUGGCUUUGUGCACAUGGCCAGGGCUCUCCAUUUAUCAUGGAUCUGGCUGGCAGCCACCUGAAAUGUCCUGCUCCCCCUCCAGAGCUGUCAGAGCCAUCCUAUCUCCAGUGACAUGAAUAAAGACAGAUGAUCAAGGACUAAAUGAGAAACAAAUUAAUGUAGUCUCAGUUUUGCCUCCCCAGUUACAGGAAUUCAAGGUCUAUCUGCCACCAUGGCAGCCUGGGUGUGACUGGCCCUUGCAGCCCUGCAGCUGCAGGUGCAGAUGAGCAGUGCAGCUCACACUCCAUCCCAGCUCAUUUGGGAUUCACAGAAUCAAUGAGCCUCCCUCAAAAGCACAGACAGAGCUAAACCUUAGGACCAUAAUUUCUAACACUCUAAGGUGUUUAGUAAGUCCCUUUCAACUUAUAAGGAUAGGAAUGUUACCUUCAUAAAAGAAAUAUCUGAUGCCCAGAGAUGGCACUCUAAGUAACAUGCAGAUUUCUAUGAAUUAUUUUCAAAAUAAGGCAUUAAACUAAGCUUGUGCACUUCACAUAUUCCUUCCCCUUUGUUGCUACAUGUACUUGAGAUUUUGGAAUUUAGAUUAACGUUUAUAUUUCUGCACUUUGAUGCACAGUUGAACAUACCCUGCUCUGAUCCAAUUUCAAAGAGAAUCCAUUAAUUUUUAUAUCACGGAGGGUGAUGUUCAACCCCUCAGCUAAACACACAGUCCAACAGAACAUGAAAUUCAACAUUUGAUGACUUCUUUUCCUGCUCCCAUUGCAUAUCAGGACAGCAGCUUGUACAUGAAUCCUCAUGUGAGUCAUGUACAAUAUUUCCAUUUUUGUGACAAUUGGUCGCACGUGAUGUUUUUGACCCAAUUGUACACAAACAGAGGAAUCUGCCUAAAAUAUAUCCCUGUCUGUGAUAUUGGCACAGCACAGUGAGUUGUGUCACCUGGACUCCUCAAGACUUACAAAGAUGGACAGAGCCUCCAAACCUACCUGAGACAGGACGUCCUUGUGGCUGGCAGCAUUUGAGAUCAAGUCACUAUUUCAUCACACUCCUGGAUGGCUUGUAACACACAAACCAACACAAAGCUGGCAUUCAGCACAUCAAACAGCCUUUACCUAAUGUAAGACUAUUUCAGCAGAACAUAAUUUUCUUAUAAUCCAAUUGUAGCAGAAAAAAAAAAAACCCCAGAAGAAACCCCAAAUAUGACAUAGAAAUGGUCGUGAUCUAUCAGGCAGCUUCCCACAACACUGCAGUUUCCUGCAGAGCUGGGGACAGAGACUGAGCAUCAUUUACAGGCCCACAACUCCCAUACUGCCAGGCCUCACCUGCCUGGGCAGAACAACACAGGCAAUUCCAGCCAGGGCUCUUUCCCUCUGCUGCUCUCCUCCUCUUCCUUGGUUGGACAAAGCAAUGGCAGAGGGGAAAGAGAAAACUGAGACAUGGAAGCACACAGCAUUCACUGGCAGGGAGAACCUUACCUGUGUGAUGCUGUGGGAAAGGGCAAAGAGAACUUGACAACAACAUUUUUAGAGGCUUUGUGCCAGAGUACCUACUCCUAUGUACAUAAAUAUGUAUUUGUGCUUCUGAAUUGAAAGCAUUCGGGUCACAAAACUUGAAAUACUUCUGUUUGUAGAUUACUUUAGGGUAUAUAACUUCAAAGAUCAAAGCAACACAAAAGUCACUCUUGACAUGGACAUCAUCAUCCAAACAGAAAAUUAGCAUGGCUUUUUUUAAUCAUUUAGGCAGGAUAGUAUUUCUGAUUAAUAGAAAUUUGAAUUAAAUUUCUCCUUUCAUGUAUGCAGCAGUUAAUUCUAAUCAAGCAAGCUCAAGGUCUUCCGUUGCCUGGAUAGUAUUAAUUAGAUUCUUCCACAUUAUGACUUUGUCAUAUGCAUCCCUACAUGGCAUACAAAUAUCAACUUUCUUAUAAACAAAUAUGAACUUUCCUUUCAAAUUUCACUGGAAAUAAUUUUCUGGUGGUGGGAACAGAGAAAAACACAAAAUCUCAGGAAUCCUACAAAAAAAAGUAUCAGGCUUAAAAGAAAAUGCUUUGAAAUUAAUUUACUUAGUACAGAACAUGACCACCAUGAAGGUUCUGCACAAAAGAAAAAGUAAUAUUCAUGUGGGACUGUGGUUAUGGAAAUGAGGUUUGAUGUGUAUAGUAUGAGAUACUAUAAACCAAACAUUAAUGAAGUGCUGACUGAGGAUGGCUGAGCUCCUGCUGGCCAGGCACAUCAGUGUCCAACAGGAGCUGCUGGAAGCUCCAAGGAGCAGCAGCACAUUCCUUGUGACACAGGCAUGCACCUCCUGAGCUAAUCCCUGCUUGCUGUGCCAGGAUCCUCAAGGAACAGCCUAAAAACUGACUUGGUGCAGGAAUGACAAAUCAUUGGAGAAAACAUCUGAGAGCUCUCCCGAGUGCCAGCCAAGGUUGGAGGGGAUGCAGAGAAUCUAUUAUGAAAGAAGGAGGCAGACCGAGCUGAGUCACUUGAAAUCAGGAAAUGCAAUUCCUUCCUACUCCUCAGAUUUAAAAUAUCCUACAGCAUAAAACUUCUGUAGGAUCAUUUUUUUAUGUUUAGGGAAGAAACUGAAAUACUGCAGUCAGGUCUCUCUAAAGAAAGUAUUCAUGACUUCCAGCAGUAUAAAAUACAUCCAACUAUUGAAAUCAAGGAGCAGAAGAAAAUCAGAGGAUUUUGAAGGGCAAUAACCAGACCACCUCAUUUUACUCUUUUUAGUUGGGUGCAUUUCUUCGUAGACACCUUCUGUUUUCCUCAGAAGGUGAUUUUUCCUACAAUUAGCCCUUGCUUAGAACUUUCCUCCUUACCAUUUUACAGACAAUGAAGUUUUUUGCUUCCUGCCAGGUAACGGGAUUCCUUGAAACUCUUCCAAUCCUUCACACCACAAGGAGUUCAGAAAUAAAAGAAGUGGUGGUGCAACUGCAACUGAGCCAAGAAAAGAGAAAAAAAACCUUGCAUCAUGGAAUGGUAGCCUUGGGACAACUAAUUAGAAUUUUAUUCAAGACAAAAGUCAAACAAGUAGUGGUAAAGUGCAAGAUAGAAAUGCAAAAUUCCAAAAGCAAAAAUGAAAGGUAACUUCACCUUACAAACUUUCUGCAAGCAGCUUACUCAGGCAACUUUAGGAGAGCAGAAGUUAAUCUGCAAAGAUUAUUUAUUCAGUUAUUAGUUGCUCUAAAAAAAAUAAAAACUCUAUUAAUUUGGUUCACUAGCAGCAUUUACUCAAAAGUUUCAUUUAUAAACAUCAAGCUUAUCCUUGCUUUAGACUAACUCAGAAAAAACCCUGGAGUCUAUACUGUAGAUCUAUCUUUAGGAAAACAUAAUUAUUUCUGAAUCCAGGAACUGCUCUGGGUUGGAGCAGCAGCUAAUAUCCUAACCAGAAUUUCCUUGAUCAUUACUCAAGCAGUAGCAUUUUUAUUUAAGAAAACCUUAGUCCUCCUCCCCCACCAGUUUCCCCAUUUCUCUUCUAACACAUUCCAUUCUAAUUUUAGUCUUUUGAGAAGGUUUUUUUCCAGAUCAACCCACUCUUUUUCACAUUUAAAUAAUUUUCAGUUUUUAAAAGAGCUCAGUUUUAGCAGGUGCUUCAGUAGCUAGGCAAUAAGAAGUCUCUUGGGAACAUCUUCCAUGUUUCCCAAAUGGAUUAGCCUGGAAAUUUGGGGAGAACACAUUAGACAAAAUAACCAUGCUGCUUAAGAGUUUCAUUCCAGCUCUGAAAUUCAGAGAAAGAAAUGCAGUCCCCAAAAGAAGCAUUUGUGCUCCCUGAUAACAAAUGAAGAAACAGCUGCUCCACUGGCACUACUGGGAUGGACCUUGGAGGCAGGAAAAUUCAACAGACACACCAGAAGCCAAACAUGGAAGCAAACAAUGCAGCUCCUCCUUUCUGGCAUUAUCCAGCUCCAGUGUAGCCCCAGGAGCAGGAAUUCUCCCUGGUUUGCAGCUCUGGCCCAGUGAGUGCAUUUCCCUGGCUCACAGUGGGAAAGGUCCCAGCAUGGUGUCGGAGCAGCAGAGAUUCCACCAGGACCUGCAGCCCCACCCAGCUAAAACACGAGGAGCUGUUGUUAUCAGCAGCUCUGGGAGCUGAAAUCAAGGCCAAGACACCUUUAGGACACCUCUCCCUGAUAAAGGACAGCCUGGCCCUUCCAUCAUCUCCAGCUAUUUGAAAGACACCUUUUCCCUCUUUUGGCUCCUGGAAACUCAAAGCACUGCAGUACAUUUCAGCAACUGCUUCUUCCUGUGGUCCCAAAUUGCAGGAAGAAACCCACUAACAGUGAUGUCUCUGUGCCUUCAUGCAGUUAGAGCAGACCUGUGAGACUUUGGCAUCUGGCAGAUUCAUGAGGCAGGAAAUUUAAAAAUAAAUUUAAUGCUAGGCAUCAUUUACAGAUUUACCAGAAUAGAUGUUCAUCUACAGUCACAGGGUUAUCUUCCACAUUUCCCUAGAGUGCAGCAACAUCCUCCUUCUCCAGUGCUAAAAAACACUAAUAAAGAGUUGAAUCUAUCUUGCUAUGCCUGUACAGAGGUAGCACUUGCAGUAAAAAAGUACGUCGGAAUAGAACACAACAGCAGACAUUUCUUAUCUUAUUCUUCAACAUGACAUAGCAUCCCCCAUUUCUGCUCCCUUUGCUCCAUUAAAUUCCUCUAACCACACAAACUGAAAAUAAAUAAUCCUAUUUUAAAGCCAGACUUAAUUCUCAAAAAGAAUUUUCUUACCUGGUGCAAAGAUUUCAGGGAAACAUUUCCUCAGCAAAUGUUAUUACCUAGAUUUGCUCUAACCUCUAUUUUCCACAGGUGAGCUACAUUUCAGUAUGGAUAUGAGGACUUGCCUGCUGGCUUGCAAGAUUUUUUAACAAGAUUUUUUUGUUUUGAGUGUGUUCUCUGCCUUUCAGGUUUGCUUCAUUGCCUUCAUCCUUUCGAGGCUCUCUAAAAGAGAAUUAACCAUGUCCAUUCCCAGCUUUGCCAGCUCCACUACUGAGAAUAGUUGGGUGAAGAGGGGAAAUAUUGAAGCCUAAAAAAAAAAAAUUCUGAUAUUUCCACAAUAAAACCCCACAAAACAUUUAAUCUUAAUAAAAAAAGAGCUCUCCUGCACGUGAAGUCAUUCCCUGCUUGCUUCCUUCUCUUUGUCCCUGAGGUUUGUUAGCUGAGCUGGCUCCAUCCUUGGGCUAAGCAGGAGAACACAGGAGAGCAGCUGAGCACACAUUAACACCUCCUCCCCACCUGGACCACAGGUCUAAAACACUACAAGGGCUCAUGAUGCCCUGCAAGUAAUUAAAACAUUUGGCUCUCUCCUCCUCACUGAACCUUCCUCUUCUCAAAAGCACCUCUGUCUAAACAUGGGCCAAAUAAAGUGUGAAUUGAAAAGAGGACAGGGAAAUUAGAUCAAACUGAGUAUGUAGCAUUCUCAUUAUCCCUCAUGUCAGACAAGUCAGAAGCACUUAUGUAAUUGGGCCUCCAGACUCAAGGCAGUGAAGUGUUAAGACAAAAAAGCAAUCCCAGGACUGCAUGCUGGGUUUUGACAAAUAGAAAAACACAGAAUUAGGCCAAGAGCUUCUCCUUAAUGUGAGUUUUUAAUUGUAGCAUGUCAAACCCAGGUUCACCAUGUGGCACAUGUGGUCAGAGAGGUAAGAAAGUGUGUAGUGCAAAAGCUGGGAGAGGGAGGGAGGGGAUUCCCUGUGUCCCCGGGCACACAUUUGUGUGUGGAUCAGAGCAGAGCCCUGCUGAGAGCCCAUGACCCACAGUGCACAGAAACACAGGGGGAGGCAGCGGCCCAUGAGCAAUCCUUGAGAAAAGGGAUGGGGGUGGGGAAUUGUGCACAGGCCUUUUUUUAGCUUCUGCUGGAAAAAACAAAUAGACCUUUUAAUCUGUGCUCUCCUUGAAGCUUUCUCUAUUGACCAUUCAUUUCUUCUGUCCCUUCCCAGCUCUUUACCUCCUCUAUAUGGCUGAUGAAUAUGCAAAUGCAUAAUCAGUUCUGUAAUAGCCUAUCCUUUCUAAAAACAGGCUAUAAAUUUGGAUCCUGAGCAGCAGGUUCUAAAAAGCCUAUUAUAUGACAUGGCUGGGGGAAGAGACCAAACAGCAGAGCUCACCAGAGCUCUUUAAAACCUGUGUGAAUGCAGAGAGGAGGAGGGUCCUCCCCAGAGCCUUGCUGGCAGCCAGAGGGACAACACCUUCUGCAGAGCCAUGCACCAGAGCAGGGCCUGAGACACUGCAGGGGAGCUGAGGGCAUGCUCAGAUUUGGGGAGCUGAGGGCAGGCUCAGUUUUGGGAGCUGAGGGCAGGCUCAGUUUUGGGGAGCUGAGGGCAGGCUGGCUUUGGGGAGCUCUCAGAGCCACGGGGCAGGGUACUGGUGGUGCGGUGGGGCCGGGUGGAGCCGAGCCCAUCGCAUGCUCUGUCCAUCCCUACACCUCCAUGGAGCACACAGGCCCUGCUGGGGCACACAGGCCCUGCUGGGAAAUGCCUGCCCCCCAAACCUGGUCCCUGGCAGCCCCUCCCAGCUGCAGGUGCCACAGAGCCAGGUACAACACGAGCUGUCCUGCUCCACUGGAAUGCAGAAGGCAGCAGUGCCUGGAGCAGGGCAGCAUUUUGAGGCAGCUGUUCCCCAGCUCCCAAGGAGUCUCCUCCUUCCCUCUGUGCAAUAAACACAAACCCUUCUGUCCAAUACUUGCAUACACUUCCAUGUCUGCCAUUUUGAGGCCCUCCUCUGGUUUCUGCAGGGCUUUACAGCAUUCCUGGGUGCUGUUGCUGCAGGGUAGAAGGCAAGAACUGUUAGUGUGAGUUUAAUGAGAUGGGAUUGUCCUGCUACACAGGGACAGAAAGCUGAAGGUGCUGUGCCAGGUGCCUCAGUUCCAGCUUCUGAUCUGCGGUAAAUUCUGGAAGCCCACAGGAAAGAAUCAGGCCCAGGUGUGUUUUACAGGAACAGUGGGUACACCCAGGAACAGACACACCUUUAAGCCCCAGAAAGAACUGACAGGCCAGGUGGGAACUGAGAACUCCUGCUCAAACCUUGGCCAAGGCAGAGGAAAAAAAGUUCGUUUGCAACAGUUUCAGUGGCCCUGUCCCUGAGGCAGACAGGACAGUGCACUACACACUGCUUGCCCUGGGAACAUCCAUCACCCUGCUGGGGCACAGAAAUGGAAUGGCAGCAAUAAUGUACAUACCUCCCUCAGAAAAAUUAGAUAAAGGGACAGAAACUUGGACCUGGCUCUAAUUCCAACUGCUGCAUCCUGAACACAUCACAACUCUUCAUUUGCAGGUAGUGAAAUAAUAUUUGCAUAAUUCAUUGGAGUAAUAUGGCAAAACAAAAACAUAAAGGACAUGCUAUAAUCACAGAUACCCAAAACAUGAAAUAAUUUAUAAACACAACUUUACAGAAAUUGAUAUUUAAAACCAAAACCAUGUGAUCUUAUAAAAUGUUCAAAGUUGUGCAGACGUUCAAUGGAACAAUCAUGGAACAAUUUCCUUCUCCCCUUCCCUGUCACCUUCAACACAAUGUAUCUCACAAAGCAAUGCAAACUCUGCCACAACCCAACAAAGCCAGGGAUGACAGGAAGAAGGAAUGUUAAAAACUGAUUUUAAUAAAUCAUAUUACAAAACCCUAGGACAAGUUCACAAAGGAGAAGUGAGCUCUCAUUCACUACUCUGAAGAUGGGAACUGGGCUCCCCAGACAAGGUCCAAAGCCUUGAGCUGAGCUUUGCUGUGUGUCACUGCUCUGACAAUUCAGAGCCACUCUGGAGCCCUGUUUUUCUUUUUGUCUUUCUGCACUCUUGCAAGCUUAUUAACACAGUACUGUGUUCCUACCUCAAAGGUGUACUUGCUUGCAUCACUGGAAGAACAUCAUAUUCAUCCCAAACUCUGAUAACACUUUCACAAAUAUUUGCUUCACCUAAACUAAAAAUAAAGCCAAACUCCAAAAUACAGUGAGAGAAAAUAUUUUGAUCACAAAAUAAAACAUACCAGCAACCCAAGGCCGGGUUCCCAUGAAAUAAGAAGAAUUAAAAUAGGAAAAAAACAAUGGGUGGAUGUACUUAAAAGUAAUCUUCCUUAAGUAGUUAAAAUCUUUGGAUCCUGAAACACCACCAAAUCACCAUAAAUAAAGUACCAUAAUCCCUGCUCCUGACCCCAGGAAACAAACCAACCCCAACACCCCACAAUUUGCUGUGAUCAGCACAUCUCAGGCACAGGAUCUGGAGAUAAUUACCAGAAGGGAUGCUGGCAGAUUACAGGGUCCAUUCAGAGAACAUGCAUUUGCCACUUCUUCCCCAAACUUCAGAAGUCUUUCUUCUAAAGCAAUCCCUUGCACGUCCAGCUGCACGCCCUGGAGGUUGUGGAUCCAAGGGGAACAGCAAUAUUCUCUGCAGGAUGCUUUCAACUACUUAAAUCCUGACUGAAACUCUUCACAUAAAGUACCAGUUAAAUUGAAAACAUUACAAGAGAGGGGUCUGACAGUGGCAAAGAUACAACAUAGUGGCUACAGCUCAGAAAAUUUACAUGUUAUCAAAUGGGAAUCCAUGACAAACUCAGAUCUUCACAUGAGACUAUA
Non-coding RNA from Zonotrichia albicollis (white-throated sparrow), 9473 nucleotides. The record is from RefSeq and is a predicted model, not a curated record. NCBI's taxonomy places the organism in Eukaryota, Metazoa, Chordata, Aves, Passeriformes, Passerellidae.